GACCAUAGCGUGUAGGAACCACCCGAUCCCUUGCCGAACUCGGAAGUGAAGAUACACAGCGCCGAUGGUAGUAUGGGGUUUCCCCAUGUGAGAGUAGGACAUUGCCAGG
RNAcentral lists this ribosomal RNA (109 nucleotides) under uncultured gamma proteobacterium HF0770_27E13. The record is from RNAcentral. Lineage: Bacteria; Pseudomonadati; Pseudomonadota; Gammaproteobacteria.